AUUGAACGCUGGCGGCAUGCCUUACACAUGCAAGUCGAACGGCAGCACGGGUGCUUGCACCUGGUGGCGAGUGGCGAACGGGUGAGUAAUACAUCGGAACGUACCUUAUCGUGGGGGAUAACGCAGCGAAAGCUGUGCUAAUACCGCAUACGCCCUGAGGGGGAAAGCGGGGGAUCGCAAGACCUCGCGCGAUUAGAGCGGCCGAUGCCUGAUUAGCUUGUUGGUGGGGUAAAAGCCCACCAAGGCGACGAUCAGUAGCUGGUCUGAGAGGACGAUAAGCCACACUGGGACUGAGACACGGCCCAGACGCCUACGGGAGGCAGCAGUGGGGAAUUUUGGACAAUGGGGGCAACCCUGAUCCAGCAAUGCCGCGUGAGUGAAGAAGGCCUUCGGGUUGUAAAGCUCUUUUGUCAGGGAAGAAACACCGGCUCUAACACAGUCCGGGAAUGACGGUACCUGAAGAAUAAGCACCGGCUAACUACGUGCCAGCAGCCGCAGUAA
RNAcentral lists this ribosomal RNA (501 nucleotides) under uncultured bacterium. Its description in RNAcentral is "partial 16S ribosomal RNA". It matches the Rfam family "Bacterial small subunit ribosomal RNA", at positions 29 to 523 of the family's 1533-position model. The record is from RNAcentral.